Non-coding RNA from Cyanistes caeruleus (blue tit), 674 nucleotides. The record is from RefSeq and is a predicted model, not a curated record. NCBI's taxonomy places the organism in Eukaryota, Metazoa, Chordata, Aves, Passeriformes, Paridae.
ACUCAGUUGUCACAAUGGAAAAUGAAAUUAAGUUUUUUAUUCCCUGACUAAAUCUUCCAUCUGGCAGCAAUUGUCAGGAAGGCAUGACAGUUUCAUUGCAUGUGUAAGUGAAUAUACAAGGGUUAACCAUUGCCUUUAAGCAGACAAAAGAAAGACAUUGCUGGCAUUUAUCAAGAGAAGACACACAGCACAGCCUUGCAUAAAUAAUGGCACUGGGCCAAGUACAGCUGAGGUGGUUGCCAGCACAACUCCAUUGAAGUCAGAGGAAUUGCACCAUGGGUAUUGCCUUCUGCCCCAUGUGGCCCCUUCCCUUCGAGACUACAAAGGUGUGUGUCAAAGAAGAGGGAGCAGGUAAUGACUGCUGCUCUGUCGUGGAGAAGCAAAGAAGGCCACUGUUCUGGCAUGUCUUGUACACGUUUUCUUUGAUAAGUCAUCAGAUUUUCUUGAUGUCAUUACUUGUUCCUACCAAUGGAUAUGUCUACUGACCGCUUAAUGAGGUUUUGAAUGACAGUCUCUGCAUCCUGAACAAAGGGUUUCAAGGGGAAAAAGAACCCAACCACGAGUGUCAAAUCAAGACAGACAUAAGCUUCUGACCUCUCCCAGCAGCAACAACAAAUGGCAGCAAAAUAGAAACUUCAGAGUGCUUUUUCACCCACUGAUUCCCAUUUCCAGGU